GUUGGUUUGCUUCCAAACCCAUGCCAGCCAGCUUCCCUGACGGCAAACAUAAAAGAUGCUUAAGAAUGAUGUUCCCACUGAACCGCCUUCUGUCCACAGCCAUUGGCUUCUUUCCAUGUGGUGUGGCCACGGGCAUGGCACACUUGAGGAGCCUCGGCCUCCUGUUGCUGCUGCAUACCCAGCCAGCCCUGAUGUCCACAGAGCCAGCCCCACUCCCUUCCCCAAUAGCCCUGUAGGCUGGUCAGCUUACUGUUCAAGAGCU
RNAcentral lists this long non-coding RNA (262 nucleotides) under Heterocephalus glaber (naked mole-rat). RNAcentral's name for it is "lncRNA (ENSHGLG00000033668.1)". Lineage: Eukaryota; Metazoa; Chordata; Mammalia; Rodentia; Bathyergidae. The record is from RNAcentral.